AUGAAGCUCGCUAGUCCGGGACUAAGCGAAGGGCGCAAGGCGUCAGUUGAGAUGGCAGAUUUCAUGAGCGCGGGAAGUGGGGUUUUUCUCGGCUUUGGAGCAAACAAGAAAUACAUGGAUUGCAAAACAGAUUUCUUUGAUCAUUGUGAGGUUGAAACCUGGUCGCCGCUGUGGAUUAAAGAUUUUGUGCAGCAGCUUGGCUAUGAUCCAAGUAAAGUGCAGUGUUUCUGGUUACUUCCUGGAAUGAAUUUGGAUAAUGGACUGAGAAUUAUUGAUAGAGAUGCAGACUGUCUUAGUAUGACUGCUGUUGUGCCAAAGUUCAAGCAUUUCAAGUUGUACAUGGAUCAUGGUGAUAUUUAUAGCGAGCUGAAUAUGGAUGACAUAUGCAUAAUUGGCUCACCUACAAUGCCUGAUAUCAUGAGUCCUGUGAAGCCACAAGAAAGAGGUACAAAGAGUUAUAUUAGGAGUAGUCCUAGGAUCAAGAGCAAGGCACAAAAAGGGAGAACUAAAGAACAAGUGCAGAAAAACAAUGACAGUGAUAGUGAUUGUAGUUAUGAAGAUUGGGCUGACUCAGACAAUGACUUUAAGAAUGGCGAUGAUAAUCUGUUUGAGGAGUGGGUUGAUGACUUCAAUAAGGAUCUCAGAGCAAAGAAAAAUAAAGCAGUACAGUACGAGAGGGAUAGUGACUAUGACACCGAUGAGCUAGAACUGCCAGCUUCUGAGAAUGAGGGAAAUGAAUCAGAACAUGAGGUUGUUAUGGAAAAAGGGAAGAAAAAGAAAAAGAAGAAGGUGAAGCUCAGGUCUUUCAAGCCAGAGGACAUGAAAGCACCAAUAUUCAAAUUGGGUAUGAAGUUCCCUACUGCAGCUGAUCUUAGAAGGGCAAUUCGAGAGUACGCUAUUCAGAAUAGAGUUGCAAUCAAGUAUGCAAAGAAUGAUAAACAAAGAAUUAGGGCACACUGCUCGGAUGACUGUCCAUGGUAUUUAUUCGCAGCACCUGACAGCAGAACCACAAGUUUUGUGGUGAAAACUUAUGUGGGGGGUCACACCUGCAGUAAAGAAUGGGAGGUCAAUGGAUUCACAUCAAGAUAUCUAGCAGGCAAGUAUUUGGAGAACUUCAGGGCAGACGAAAAUAUGACAUUGAUGAAUUUUGCAAGGUUGGUGCAGAAGGACUACAACAUGAUCCCUACAAGGAGCAAGCUAGCAAGAGCAAGAAGGAUAGCAAUAAAGCAGAUUCAUGGAGAUGAGGAGAAACAAUACUCGAUGAUGUGGGACUAUGCACAAGAGAUCAGAAUGUCAAACCCUGGAAGUAGCAUGUUUAUCAAACUCAAAGAUGGCAGAUUCCACCAAUGUUACAUGUCAUUAGAUGCUUGUAAAAGAGGCUUUUUGGCUGGAUGCAGGCCUGUUAUUUGUGUUGAUGGGUGCCAUCUUAAAACAAAAUAUGGUGGACAAUUGUUGACUGCUGUAGGGAUUGAUCCAAACAACUGUAUUUUCCCCAUUGCUAUGGCUGUAGUUGAAGUGGAGGACACACCAACAUGGAAGUGGUUUCUACAGACUUUGAAAGAUGAUCUGCACAUAGUGAACACAGCAACUUGGACAGUGAUGAGUGAUAGGAAAAAAAUACUAAUAAAUGCCGUUACUGCUUUGUUCCCUCAUGGACAACACAGGUUUUGUGUGAGGCACCUUUACCAAAAUUUUGCAAAGAAGUGGAAGGGCGAGAACCUGAAGAACAAGUUAUGGGCAAUUGCAAGGUCGUACAAUAAAAUUGACUGGAGAAAAAACAUGGAUGACAUGAAGGAAUUAAAUCUAGAAGCUUAUGAGUACUUAGAAGCAAUUGAACCAAGUUCCUGGUGCAGGGCCUUUUUCCAAGAAUUACCAAAGUGUGACCUGCUACUAAACAAUAAUUGUGAGGUCUUUAAUAAGUGGAUACUUGAUGCUAGAGAGCUGCCUGUCAUGAGCAUGUUCAAAAAAAUCAAAAAUCAAUUGUCGACAAGGUUUUAUAGCAAGAACAAGGAAAGUGAAGAGUGGUGUGGAACAAUUUGUCCCAAGAUCAAAAAGAUACUUGAUAAGAAUGCAGAAAUGGCUAAUAAUUGUCAGGCAUUGCCUUCUGGCAAAGGCAUCUUUACUGUCUUGGGACUCAGAGGCGAGUACAAGGUUGACAUAAACAAAUACACAUGUUCAUGCAAAGCUUGGCAGCUAACAGGCAUACCAUGUAGACAUGGCAUCUCUUGUCUCAGAGGUGAAAGAAUCAAACCAGAGAAUGUUGUCUCUCCAUGCUAUAGUAUUGCAGCAUUCAAGAAAGUAUAUGGUGAAGUUAUUAUGCCUUGCAGAGACCCAAGAGAGUGGGAAAAGGUGAAUGCUGCUCCAAUCUUGCCACCCCUAUACGAAAAGCAUGUUGGGAGGCCUAGCAAUAAAAGAAAGAAGAACCCUGUAGAGACUGAUGAAGGAAAGUUGAGCAAGCAUGGUGCGGUUUCUCACUGCAGUAUUUGUAGGUCAGUUGAUCAUAAUAAAAGAACUUGCCCUGAAAAAGGUAGACAGGAGCAACAAGAUGAGGCAAGGCAAGGGGAGCAGCAAGAGGCAGGACAAGUGCAGCAAGGUGAGGCAGUUCAAGGACAAAACUCAAUUCCAAGGCAUAUUGCCAAAAAGGCAAAAUUACCAGUGAAGAGAAGGAUUAGUUCAACUAAUCAGACCACAUCUUCUGCAAGUGUGGUUGGAUCUAGUGUAAUACUAGUGUGGGAGCAGAACAUGUCUGUGUUCGACUUACUGAUGCAAUCCUCACAGCCGUCCCAAGAAUCCCAGGCACCAAGACCUCUUCCUGACAAUCAAUUUCUUGCAAGCCAAAUAGAGGAUCUACAAAUGACAAAACAGACCACAACUAUAAUCCAUGUAGCAGCAAAGAAGAAGAAAAGGAAGGAGAAGAUCACGGAGAAGGAGAAUGUUAUUCCUAGGAAGAAGAAAUAG
This 2958-nucleotide ribosomal RNA is filed under the name Triticum aestivum (bread wheat). RNAcentral describes it as "partial small subunit ribosomal RNA". Lineage: Eukaryota; Viridiplantae; Streptophyta; Magnoliopsida; Poales; Poaceae. The record is from RNAcentral.